Molecule: regulatory RNA element, 117 nt
Rfam family: ylbH leader
About the family: This family is a putative regulatory RNA structure that is found upstream of the ylbH gene in B. subtilis and related low GC Gram-positive bacteria.
Source: Rfam
AAAAAGAAAAACCCUGCAUCACAUGCAGGGCCCCUUCUAUAUCCAUAUGGAAAGAAGGCAAAGGGAGAGGAGAAACCGGAGGAAGAACUUAUGGGGAAACGUAAGUCUUCUCCGCGG